RNAcentral lists this ribosomal RNA (415 nucleotides) under Magallana gigas (Pacific oyster). RNAcentral's name for it is "partial large subunit ribosomal RNA". It matches the Rfam family "Bacterial large subunit ribosomal RNA", at positions 1944 to 2595 of the family's 2925-position model. The record is from RNAcentral. Lineage: Eukaryota; Metazoa; Mollusca; Bivalvia; Ostreida; Ostreidae.
GAGGGUGCUAAGGUAGCGAAAUUCCUUGCCUUUUGAUUGUGGGCCUGCAUGAAUGGUUUAACGAGGGUUUGACUGUCUCUAAAUUUUUUAUUGAAAUUGUACUGAAGGUGAAGAUACCUUCAUUUAAAAGUUAGACAAAAAGACCCCGUGCAACUUUGAAAAUUAACUUUAUUCAGGAGUAAAAGAUUUUUAGGUGGGGCGCCUAGAAAGCAAGUCUAACCUUUCUGAAUAACUAACUCUUUCCGGAUUUGACCCGAUUAUAUUCGAUCGUAGGAGAAGUUACGCCGGGGAUAACAGGCUAAUCCUUUAGUAGAGUUCGUAUUGGCUAAAGGGAUUGGCACCUCGAUGUUGAAUCAGGGAUAAUAGCUUCAAGGCGUAGAGGCUUUGAAAGUAGGUCUGUUCGACCUUUAAUACC